Long non-coding RNA from Scylla paramamosain (green mud crab), 1012 nucleotides. RefSeq lists it as uncharacterized. The transcript has 4 exons. The record is from RefSeq and is a predicted model, not a curated record. NCBI's taxonomy places the organism in Eukaryota, Metazoa, Arthropoda, Malacostraca, Decapoda, Portunidae.
CGUCAGGGAGGUGUGUCUCUCCGCCAGCAGCAAACUUGACGUCACUACUUGGCGCGCGAAGGUCCAAUGUGGGACCGUUUGGUUACUGCUUGUAAUUUGAAAACACAACCUGUGAGCAGUAGCCAGGGCGUGCAGCGGCGUGCAGUGCGUGGGUAUGGUGACUGUGUGGCCUCUGAUGUGCAGGUGUGUGAGCUGCUGGACGAGAGAAGAGCAAACGAAAAGUAAACAUGGGAUUGCUGCCGCCUCAGGACACUAGGAGCAUUGCAGAAGCGCUGAGGAAGAUAAUACAACUCUUGACGCAGCGAACACAACUCUGUACUGAGGCAGGCAGUGGCUUCUCCCAACACCUCACGUGGUCAUCACAACAAGAUCCCAUCCCGUCACUGGCACCAAAUAUCUUCCCGUCCCGCGCCCUGGAUCUCCCGUCGCUAGGCAAGAUCUCCGAUAAUUAGCUGGCAGACAGGGCAGCGGGGGAUGAGGAGAGCGAGAGGGAGACAGGCGGCACGUCUCCCUCCUCCUUCUCCUCCUCCUCUUUCUUCUCUUUCCAGCAAUUCCACGUCAAAUGGGGAUGAUCCUCUUCAAACAGGAGUACAAAACUGAUCUGGCACCAACAAGCAAUAGAGUAGCAUCCCCACGUGCGCCGGACACUUCACCGCCACCCAGCUGUCCCGGCCCGCCAACACACCACAACAGCCUUCCCUGCGACAGCCUCCAAAUUGCCCCCGGGAAGCAAAGGAGGAAACGUCCAGAGAGUGUAUUUAUUUUACGGGAACACAAAGUUUACACAAGUUUGCUGACCUUGAUGACGACCAGACGUGAGCAGCCGCACCUGUUUCCUCCUGUUCUGACCUCGAGACAGUUAAUUAAAGGUGUGGCGAGAACGUACAGGUUAUUUGAGUUCACUCCUACAUUGCAAAGAACGAGGUGAAAGGUAACAAGAUAACCUAACAGUGCAUUUUUUUUUUUUUCAUUUACGUAAACAAUAACGAAAUUUAUUGUUUUCUUUGAUUAC